Molecule: long non-coding RNA, 1005 nt
Organism: Drosophila santomea
Lineage: Eukaryota; Metazoa; Arthropoda; Insecta; Diptera; Drosophilidae
Exons: 3
Source: RefSeq, a predicted model, not a curated record
UCCGAUUAUUUUGUGUAAUUUAUACCUUCUACGUGGCAGGUGCGGAUUUAUGGCUUUCGCUGCCGGCCGAUACGGCUCAGACGCAGACCAUUCCGCCAGCCUUGUAGGCACAGACGCGACAUGGGUAUUUGGUUCCUGCUGCCCGGCUGAGCGUGUAGACCACUUAUACCGCUCCUGCACCAGAAAGGGGACGAAUAGGAGGCUUCAUAAAACAAGCUUUUCAAACAGCUGUCAUUUACACUGACUUAGGUAAAGAAUUUGGCUCUCUCACUUCUUGUAAGGAAACUGGAUAUAUUAGAGUCACGUAACGGAUUUCAUAAGCUGCUGGACAGGAUCAGAAAUUGGCUUUGGAACGAGCCAUAAAGCCAACAACUCUAGAUAACUUUCCUGACGAAAGUAUCAACAAGUUGUUCAUCCACAAAUCGCAUUUGACAGUAUUUUAGAAGUUACACGUGAAUUUUCUGCUAAUAAUACCUGCUUUUUUUGCAACCCAAAAAAGGUUCAACUUUAAAAAUUCGGACUAUGCGGUCGAUUUUUAGGUGUAAUAUGUAACCGACCGGCUUGGUUAUGGUCUCUAUGGAAAGGGUCAUCAAAUCUCGGUAAGAAUAGGUAGAAUAAAUGUAUAAUUUUCUUUACAAGUGCAGGAAUACCUGUUUACCGAAGUACUAAUUUUCACAUACUUUUCAACUUUGACGGAGAAAAUAAAGCGAUUCCCUACCAUUCCCUUGGAGUAUGAGGUGUUGUUCUUAAAUAUGUUCUUUAUCAUAAUCAUAAAAGAGAUCGGGUCCCAGGCAAAAGAUACUUUCAACUCAGCGUAAAAAACGCGCGGCUUAAUGCAAAUUCUGCUACAAGCGCAUUUGCUACGCAGUACGAAAUUGUAUGGCGGGCAUACAUUUUUUCCUGUAUUGCGUCGGCUUGUUUUUCAAUCCCUGACUUUGUAAUGAUUUUAAAUGAAUGUAUAAUGAUUAACUAUUCUUCAAAAAUAUUAAAUUAAGUAAAAUUGAA